Molecule: ribosomal RNA, 252 nt
Filed under: uncultured bacterium
Lineage: Bacteria
Description: partial 16S ribosomal RNA
Rfam family: Bacterial small subunit ribosomal RNA
Source: RNAcentral
UACGGGGGGGGCAAGCGUUGUUCGGGAUUACUGGGCGUAAAGGGCUCGUAGGCGGCCAACUAAGUCAGACGUGAAAUCCCUCGGCUUAACCGGGGAACUGCGUCUGAUACUGGAUGGCUUGAGUGUGGGAGAGGGAUGCGGAAUUCCAGGUGUAGCGGUGAAAUGCGUAGAUAUCUGGAGGAACACCGGUGGCGAAGGCGGCAUCCUGGACUACUACUGACGCUGAGGAGCGAAAGCCAGGGGAGCAAACGG